UACGUAGGGUGCGAGCGUUGUCCGGAAUUAUUGGGCGUAAAGGGCUCGUAGGCGGUUUGUCGCGUCGGGAGUGAAAACCUCGGGCUUAACUCGGGGCUUGCUUUCGAUACGGGCAGACUAGAGGUAUGCAGGGGAGAACGGAAUUCCUGGUGUAGCGGUGAAAUGCGCAGAUAUCAGGAGGAACACCGGUGGCGAAGGCGGGUCUCUGGGCAACAACUGACGCUGAGGAGCGAAAGCGUGGGGAGCGAACAGG
This 253-nucleotide ribosomal RNA is filed under the name uncultured bacterium. Its description in RNAcentral is "partial 16S ribosomal RNA". It matches the Rfam family "Bacterial small subunit ribosomal RNA", at positions 524 to 776 of the family's 1533-position model. The record is from RNAcentral.